GGGAAGGUCUUGACGGAGCACGCCGCGUGAGUGAUGAAGGCUUUCGGGUCGUAAAACUCUGUUGUUAGGGAAGAACAAGUGCUAGUUGAAUAAGCUGGCACCUUGACGGUACCUAACCAGAAAGCCACGGCUAACUACGUGCCAGCAGCCGCGGUAAUACGUAGGUGGCAAGCGUUAUCCGGAAUUAUUGGGCGUAAAGCGCGCGCAGGUGGUUUCUUAAGUCUGAUGUGAAAGCCCACGGCUCAACCGUGGAGGGUCAUUGGAAACUGGGAGACUUGAGUGCAGAAGAGGAAAGUGGAAUUCCAUGUGUAGCGGUGAAAUGCGUAGAGAUAUGGAGGAACACCAGUGGCGAAGGCGACUUUCUGGUCUGUAACUGACACUGAGGCGCGAAAGCGUGGGGAGCAAACAGGAUUAGAUACCCUGGUAGUCCACGCCGUAAACGAUGAGUGCUAAGUGUUAGAGGGUUUCCGCCCUUUAGUGCUGAAGUUAACGCAUUAAGCACCCGGCCGGGGGG
RNAcentral lists this ribosomal RNA (514 nucleotides) under Bacillus cereus. RNAcentral describes it as "bacterial SSU rRNA". It matches the Rfam family "Bacterial small subunit ribosomal RNA", at positions 374 to 879 of the family's 1533-position model. The record is from RNAcentral. Lineage: Bacteria; Bacillati; Bacillota; Bacilli; Caryophanales; Bacillaceae.